This 398-nucleotide ribosomal RNA is filed under the name uncultured bacterium. RNAcentral describes it as "bacterial SSU rRNA". It matches the Rfam family "Bacterial small subunit ribosomal RNA", at positions 357 to 772 of the family's 1533-position model. The record is from RNAcentral.
GGGAAUAUUGGACAAUGGGCGAAAGCCUGAUCCAGCAAUACCGCGUGAAUGAUGAAGGCCUUAGGGUUGUAAAGUUCUUUUAGCAGGGAAGAUAAUGACGGUACCUGCAGAAAAAGCCCCGGCUAACUCCGUGCCAGCAGCCGCGGUAAGACGGAGGGGGCUAGCGUUGUUCGGAAUUACUGGGCGUAAAGAGCGCGUAGGCGGUUUAGUAAGUUGGAAGUGAAAGCCCGGGGCUUAACCUCGGAAUUGCUUUCAAAACUGCUAGGCUAGAGUGUAGUAGGGGAUGAUGGAAUUCCUAGUGUAGAGGUGAAAUUCUUAGAUAUUAGGAGGAACACCGGUGGCGAAGGCGGUCAUCUGGGCUACAACUGACGCUGAGGCGCGAAAGCGUGGGGAGCAAA